Molecule: non-coding RNA, 24 nt
Filed under: Cricetulus griseus (Chinese hamster)
Lineage: Eukaryota; Metazoa; Chordata; Mammalia; Rodentia; Cricetidae
Source: RNAcentral
GUGAAACAAUAAAAGGUGUUCAUG